This is a long non-coding RNA of Lynx canadensis (Canada lynx), 2495 nucleotides long. RefSeq lists it as uncharacterized. The record is from RefSeq and is a predicted model, not a curated record. The transcript has 5 exons. NCBI's taxonomy places the organism in Eukaryota, Metazoa, Chordata, Mammalia, Carnivora, Felidae.
UCUGCGGUGGCGGGCUGGCCACUUGCUCCGAGAGUACGGGAUUUAUGGUUCUGGCGUGCCAGGAGGAAACGCCUCGUUGCCAGAUGGAAUUCAGACCCGGAGUGCGUUUGCUUCCCGGGGCCAAGAGACAAGGACCGGGCAGGAUCAGGAAGAGGACAAUUUCUCCAUCGAGUUUGUGAAAGGGGGAAACGGAGAAUGAGCCAAGUUGGAGGUCAAGGGCCAAGCCUGGAGAUACGAUCAGAGGCCAAGAGGAAAGGAAACACAGGCGUGAUAAGUGAUGUGGCGGUGAGGACAGAGGGAGAACCCCAAGCGCGUGUCAGGGAAAGGGUGGGGGGACAGUUCACUGUGUCAACUGCCCCAAGGCAGGCGAGGAGGAUUUACAUGAUGAAAGACGUGUGUCCAGACUUACUGGUUGAGUACCUAUUACGUACAGGUGCUAGUCACAAGGUGAGCAAGACAGAGAGAGACAGAGAGAGAGAGAGAGAGAGAGAGAGAGAAAACAUGUGUCCUCUGGCCUCGCGGAGUUUCCAGUCUAGAGAAGACAGCAGGCACUCGUCAGAACCAACUCACACGGUCCUAAAGGCAGAGUCAUCUCUGAGCCCCAGCCUCUGUCCUGGAGGAAGUCAGCUGAAAGAGGGAGGACAGACAGAGAGCCCAUCGAUUAAGCGGUGAUGUGAUGGGCCCUGUACGGGGUGGCCGGGCCUCCGAGGGAUGGCAGGGCAGGGGGCCCCCACUGGACAGUUUCUGAGAGGAGCCGCCCGUGCAGGCGUGGAAGAGGAGGAGCAGGGAGGACUCCCGGAGAGCCGGAGCAUAAGCUAACGGGCCUUGGAGCAGCCGUGGGGAGCCGAGCAGGGACGGUCUGCAGAAAGAUUCGCAAGUGAACCCGCGGGGCUCAAGGCCUGGGUGGCCGGGAGGGGGCUGUGGGUGCUGGUCAGGGGCGAGGACCCUGAAGGAAGCAGGAGGACAAAGAGUGUGGUCCCCCACCCCGCCCCCUACCGGGACCAGGCCCCGCCCCAGCCUGCUGGAUGUGGAUGUGGAUUUCACCGAGAUUCCCAGGGCUCGCGGGGCACGUGGCCACUGGAGAUGCGCCGGCAGCGUGGACCCUAGCAGAUACGAGCACGGCUCAAGGAGCUCGCGCUCUGUCCCCACGGGGAGCAGGGGACAGGCCGGUGGCCGUGGCGCCGGGCAGCACUGGCGCGGGAGCGUCCUGGCAGAUGCGGGGGCGGUGGGGGGCUCCGGAGGCGCGGGGCGCACACCUGUACACGGCGUAGGUGUGGUACUCGUUCAGGUAGUCGAUGCGGUCCUCCAGCUUGUUGCUGCGGUGGCUCUUGUCGAUGCUGAGGACGAAGAGGUCGAUGUAGGCGUCCAGCGAGAACUGGUACAUGGGGUCGAUGCGGCCCAUGUCGUUGAGCACGAAGAACAGAACCGACGCCCUCUGGGCACACGGGCGCUGCUCGGAUCACCCUCGGUGGCGGUCAUCUUGGAGGUACGAAGGGUGUUCACCAGCUGCACGUCGUCGAGCAGGGAGCCCGUGGCCUCAUUCAGCAGCCUGAAGGGAAGCGCAGCUCCUUGAGCUUCUUCUUGCCGGCAGCGAUGUUGAUGACCAGUGAGUCCUUCUGUUCCUCCAGCUCCGGCCGCUCCUUCCGGACCACGAUGCCCAGCAGCUGAGCCGCCAGGCCCUGGGAGCACGGGGACGCGCGGUGGGACUCGCGCUCUGGUGACGGCACAGCCCUGGCACCCGGUCACGCCUCCCCCCCCCCCCCCCCCCCCCCCCCCCCGCCUCAUCCCCUGCCGCCCAGCGCAGGGGGCCUUUGUCUCCACCCCGCCCUCGACUCUCCGGGUGCUUCCUGCUCCUCGCUAGCUGGGUCCAGGCUGCAGCCCCCGCCCCCACCUGUUCCUUGACAGCAAAGUUGACGAUGGUGGUCUUGGCCGAGGUCUCAGGGCUGUAGUGGGGGUUGGAGAGCUUGGUGGUGAUGUAGAAACGGAAAUUGCUGUUGUACUCCACCUCCUUGUCUGCAAUGCGCAUCAGCAGCCGGCCGCCUGCAGCCGGGCCAGGGUCAAGGGCAAAGGAGCCCUGGUGACCAGGUGCGGGCUGGCCCAGCCCCCAGCCCACAUCCAGCUGCCCUAAUGGGCCCAGCCCGGGGCUGUGUGAGCGGAGGGCCACGGUCUGAGGGCCGGCCCUCCCCCCCAACCCCUCACCUCGUGGCCCAGCUGGCUGGUCUCCAGGAUUUGUCCCCCAGCCCAACCCCAUAGGAAGCCUGGACCCUCACCGAUUCGAGCUACAGAUUUGUUGAGCACAGGGUUAAGCGUGGGGUCCAGAUACUCCUGAACGUUCUGGAGCAGCACUGGAUAUCCAAACUGGAUGGCCUUUUCUAGAAUUUGAAGGGCCUGGGCCUGAGGGUCAAUCAUCAGUGCCCACCUGAAGGAGGGCGGUCAGUCAGAAGACAGGCUCCGCCCUUGCCCCGCCCCCGCUCCCGGCAGCCUCCUUACCUGUU